GGGGAUUUAGCUCAGUGGCACAGCACCUGCCUGGCAAUCAUGAGGUCCUGAGUUCAAGUUCCAGGACCCCCA
RNAcentral lists this transfer RNA (72 nucleotides) under Cavia porcellus (domestic guinea pig). It matches the Rfam family "tRNA". From Rfam's summary of the family: Transfer RNA (tRNA) molecules are approximately 80 nucleotides in length. The record is from Rfam by way of RNAcentral. Lineage: Eukaryota; Metazoa; Chordata; Mammalia; Rodentia; Caviidae.